This 253-nucleotide ribosomal RNA is filed under the name uncultured bacterium. RNAcentral's name for it is "partial 16S ribosomal RNA". It matches the Rfam family "Bacterial small subunit ribosomal RNA", at positions 524 to 776 of the family's 1533-position model. The record is from RNAcentral.
AACGUAGGUGGCGAGCGUUAUCCGGAUUUACUGGGCGUAAAGGGUGUGCAGGCUGCCCCUCAAGUGGUGUAUGAAAGGGCUCGGCUCAACCGGGCUAGGUUAUGCCAGACUGAGGGGCUAGAGAGCGAGAGCGGGACGUGGAAUUCCGGGUGUAGUGGUGAAAUGCGUAGAGAUCCGGAGGAACCCCAGAGGCGAAGGCGGCGUCCUGGCCCGCAUCUGACGCUCAGACACGACAGCAUGGGGAGCGAACGGG